This is a non-coding RNA of Coniella lustricola, 100 nucleotides long. The record is from the annotation of a GenBank genome assembly. NCBI's taxonomy places the organism in Eukaryota, Fungi, Ascomycota, Sordariomycetes, Diaporthales, Schizoparmaceae.
GGUCCCGUAGCUCAGUUGGUUAGAGCGUCGUACUAAUAAUAUCCUGAAUGGGAAUUAUCAUGUAAUGCGAAGGUCGCGGGUUCGACCCCCUCCGGGACCA